Molecule: ribosomal RNA, 202 nt
Filed under: Campylobacter coli
Lineage: Bacteria; Pseudomonadati; Campylobacterota; Epsilonproteobacteria; Campylobacterales; Campylobacteraceae
Also listed under: 1 other name
Description: partial 16S ribosomal RNA
Rfam family: Bacterial small subunit ribosomal RNA
Source: RNAcentral
UUUAUGGAGAGUUUGAUCCUGGCUCAGAGUGAACGCUGGCGGCGUGCCUAAUACAUGCAAGUCGAACGAUGAAGCUUCUAGCUUGCUAGAAGUGGAUUAGUGGCGCACGGGUGAGUAAGGUAUAGUUAAUCUGCCCUACACAAGAGGACAACAGUUGGAAACGACUGCUAAUACUCUAUACUCCUGCUUAACACAAGUUGAG